Molecule: ribosomal RNA, 525 nt
Filed under: uncultured eukaryote
Lineage: Eukaryota
Description: SSU rRNA
Rfam family: Eukaryotic small subunit ribosomal RNA
Source: RNAcentral
UAGUCAUAUGCUUGUCUCAAAGAUUAAGCCAUGCAUGUCUAAGUAUAAGCAAUUUGUACUGUGAAACUGCGAAUGGCUCAUUAAAUCAGUUAUCGUUUAUUUGAUAGUACCUUACUACAUGGAUACCUGUGGUAAUUCUAGAGCUAAUACAUGCUAAAAACCUCGACUUCGGAAGGGGUGUAUUUAUUAGAUAAAAAACCAACGCCCUUCGGGGCUCCUUGGUGAAUCAUAAUAACUAAGCGAAUCGCAUGGCCUUGCGCCGGCGAUGGUUCAUUCAAAUUUCUGCCCUAUCAACUUUCGAUGGUAAGAUAGUGGCUUACCAUGGUGGCAACGGGUAACGGGGAAUUAGGGUUCGAUUCCGGAGAGGGAGCCUGAGAAACGGCUACCACAUCCAAGGAAGGCAGCAGGCGCGCAAAUUACCCAAUCCCGACACGGGGAGGUAGUGACAAUAAAUACUGAUACGGGGCUCUUUUGGGUCUCGUAAUUGGAAUGAGUACAAUCUAAAUCCCUUAACGAGGAACAAUU